CUUAACACAUGCAAGUCGAGGGGCAGCAUUUUAGUUUGCUUGCAAACUGAAGAUGGCGACCGGCGCACGGGUGAGUAACACGUAUCCAACCUGCCGAUAACUCCGGAAUAGCCUUUCGAAAGAAAGAUUAAUACCGGAUAGCAUACGAAUAUCGCAUGAUAUUUUUAUUAAAGAAUUUCGGUUAUCGAUGGGGAUGCGUUCCAUUAGUUUGUUGGCGGGGUAACGGCCCACCAAGACUACGAUGGAUAGGGGUUCUGAGAGGAAGGUCCCCCACAUUGGAACUGAGACACGGUCCAAACUCCUACGGGAGGCAGCAGUGAGGAAUAUUGGUCAAUGGGCGAGAGCCUGAACCAGCCAAGUAGCGUGAAGGAUGAAGGCUCUAUGGGUCGUAAACUUCUUUUAUAUGGGAAUAAAGUUUUCCACGUGUGGAAUUUUGUAUGUACCAUAUGAAUAAGGAUCGGCUAACUCCGUGCCAGCAGCCGCGGUAAUACGGAGGAUCCGAGCGUUAUCCGGAUUUAUUGGGUUUAAAGGGAGCGUAGGUGGAUUGUUAAGUCAGUUGUGAAAGUUUGCGGCUCAACCGUAAAAUUGCAGUUGAAACUGGCAGUCUUGAGUACAGUAGAGGUGGGCGGAAUUCGUGGUGUAGCGGUGAAAUGCUUAGAUAUCACGAAGAACUCCGAUUGCGAAGGCAGCUCACUAGACUGUCACUGACACUGAUGCUCGAAAGUGUGGGUAUCAAACAGGAUUAGAUACCCUGGUAGUCCACACAGUAAACGAUGAAUACUCGCUGUUUGCGAUAUACAGUAAGCGGCCAAGCGAAAGCAUUAAGUAUUCCACCUGGGGAGUACGCCGGCAACGGUGAAACUCAAAGGAAUUGACGGGGGCCCGCACAAGCGGAGGAACAUGUGGUUUAAUUCGAUGAUACGCGAGGAACCUUACCCGGGCUUAAAUUGCAACAGAAUAUAUUGGAAACAGUAUAGCCGUAAGGCUGUUGUGAAGGUGCUGCAUGGUUGUCGUCAGCUCGUGCCGUGAGGUGUCGGCUUAAGUGCCAUAACGAGCGCAACCCUUAUCUUUAGUUACUAACAGGUCAUGCUGAGGACUCUAGAGAGACUGCCGUCGUAAGAUGUGAGGAAGGUGGGGAUGACGUCAAAUCAGCACGGCCCUUACGUCCGGGGCUACACACGUGUUACAAUGGGGGGUACAGAAGGCGGCUACCUGGUGACAGGAUGCUAAUCCCAAAAACCUCUCUCAGUUCGGAUCGAAGUCUGCAACCCGACUUCGUGAAGCUGGAUUCGCUAGUAAUCGCGCAUCAGCCAUGGCGCGGUGAAUACGUUCCCGGGCCUUGUACACACCGCCCGUCAAGCCAUGAAAGCCGGGGGUACCUGAAGUACGUAACCGCAAGGAGCGUCCUAGGGUAAAACUGGUAAUUGGGGCUAAGUCGU
Molecule: ribosomal RNA, 1439 nt
Filed under: uncultured organism
Description: SSU rRNA
Rfam family: Bacterial small subunit ribosomal RNA
Source: RNAcentral